Molecule: long non-coding RNA, 264 nt
Filed under: Setaria viridis
Lineage: Eukaryota; Viridiplantae; Streptophyta; Magnoliopsida; Poales; Poaceae
Description: long non-coding RNA (SVIR_LNC001209)
Source: RNAcentral
CUCAACCUGCUUGUAGAACUGCAGCUCAAGCUCUACUGCUCUCAUACUAUCAUAUAUACACACAACUAAACAUAGUGUAUAUAUAUAUGAUCCAAGCUACUUAUGUGUCUAUAAUCGAUCUAGUGACUAGUGUACCAUGACCUGUGUUGUCUAUUCAGUAGCCAAAGCUCAUUUUAACUGCUGAACAAUGCCUGUAAUUGAAACAAUCAACAGAUCAACAUACUAGUGAGGGAGAUAAAUGCCUGCACAGGCAUUAUGUGCGGC